GGCAGGCACACUCUGUAAGCAAGGUACCAUUCUACUUGAUAUAUAACCAAUAAAAGUUAUUUAAAACCAAGAGGCAGUUUCUAUGUCAACAUCUACUUUGCCUCUAUAUAGACAGUAUGCAUAAUGUAACAUGUCUGAGGAUCAGAUUUAAUUCUCAACCUUAGGGGUGAAUUUGAUUUUUCCAACCUGGCACAUUGAAGGACUGAAUUCACAUCGACCUUUCCAAAAUCCAAAUUCAGGGAGUUGUUACGCUUAAUGAAGUGCUCAAAAUAAAUUAAUAGGCGUAUCAUAUUCAUUUAACCAUUGACUUUAUCAAGAAAAGGAUUAUUAAGGGUAUUUACAAAAUAUAGCAUCAUCAUCAUUAUUAAUUCUAAAUUUUAAAUAAAUUUCAUUAAAAAUGGGAGAAAAUGGAUUAGACGAGUUUGAUUAGGUUCAGAAGGUAUUCAAAUAAUGGAUUUGGUUCUAGUAUAGACUUAUGUAUUGCUUGUUUUGAAUCUCAUGAAUCCUGUUUGUUUGACGUCAGAUAGGUGAAUUACUAUUUAAAAAAAAAUGUGAAUACUGUACUACAAUCAGUUCUUCAAAAUUUACUUGUACUAUGGAACAUAAAUCAAUGAGGAGUAGACAAUCAAACUGACAUUUUCUACUGAGUUCUCGCUACUUUUAAUGGAACUUUAGCUUGAAAAGAAACCCUUCAACCAAAA
RNAcentral lists this unclassified non-coding RNA (701 nucleotides) under Hevea brasiliensis (rubber tree). The record is from RNAcentral. Lineage: Eukaryota; Viridiplantae; Streptophyta; Magnoliopsida; Malpighiales; Euphorbiaceae.